GACGAACGCUGGCGGCGUGCUUAACACAUGCAAGUCGAACGGAAAGGCCCUGCUUUUGUGGGGUGCUCGAGUGGCGAACGGGUGAGUAACACGUGAGUAACCUGCCCUUGACUUUGGGAUAACUUCAGGAAACUGGGGCUAAUACCGGAUAGGAGCUCCUGCUGCAUGGUGGGGGUUGGAAAGUUUCGGCGGUUGGGGAUGGACUCGCGGCUUAUCAGCUUGUUGGUGGGGUAGUGGCUUACCAAGGCUUUGACGGGUAGCCGGCCUGAGAGGGUGACCGGCAAAAUUGGGAAUGAGAUACGGCCCAGACUCCUACGGGAGGCAGCAGUGGGGAAUAUUGCACAAUGGGCGGAAGCCUGAUGCAGCAACGCCGCGUGCGGGAUGACGGCCUUCGGGUUGUAAACCGCUUUCGCCUGUGACGAAGCGUGAGUGACGGUAAUGGGUAAAGAAGCACCGGCUAACUACGUG
Molecule: ribosomal RNA, 468 nt
Filed under: uncultured bacterium
Lineage: Bacteria
Description: partial 16S ribosomal RNA
Rfam family: Bacterial small subunit ribosomal RNA
Source: RNAcentral